GAUGAACGCUGGCGGCGUGCCUAAUACAUGCAAGUCGAGCGAACAGACGAGGAGCUUGCUCCUCUGACGUUAGCGGCGGACGGGUGAGUAACACGUGGAUAACCUACCUAUAAGACUGGGAUAACUUCGGGAAACCGGAGCUAAUACCGGAUAAUAUAUUGAACCGCAUGGUUCAAUAGUGAAAGACGGUUUUGCUGUCACUUAUAGAUGGAUCCGCGCCGCAUUAGCUAGUUGGUAAGGUAACGGCUUACCAAGGCAACGAUGCGUAGCCGACCUGAGAGGGUGAUCGGCCACACUGGAACUGAGACCCGGUCCAGACUCCUAAGGGAGGCAGCAGUAGGGAAUCUUCCGCAAUGGGCGAAAGCCUGACGGAGCAACGCCGCGUGAGUGAUGAAGGUCUUCGGAUCGUAAAACUCUGUUAUUAGGGAAGAACAAAUGUGUAAGUAACUAUGCACGUCUUGACGGUACCUAAUCAGAAAGCCACGGCUAACUACGUG
Molecule: ribosomal RNA, 497 nt
Filed under: uncultured bacterium
Lineage: Bacteria
Description: partial 16S ribosomal RNA
Rfam family: Bacterial small subunit ribosomal RNA
Source: RNAcentral